CCUACGGGAGGCAGCAGUGAGGAAUAUUGGUCAAUGGCCGUAAGGCUGAACCAGCCAAGUCGCGUGAAGGAAGAAGGAUCUAUGGUUUGUAAACUUCUUUUAUAGGGGAAUAAAGGUAUCCACGUGUGGAUAUUUGCAUGUACCCUAUGAAUAAGCAUCGGCUAACUCCGUGCCAGCAGCCGCGGUAAUACGGAGGAUGCGAGCGUUAUCCGGAUUUAUUGGGUUUAAAGGGUGCGUAGGUUGUUUUUUAAGUCAGCGGUGAAAGUUUGUGGCUCAACCAUAAAAUUGCCGUUGAAACUGGAAGACGUGAGGGUGUUUGAGGUAGGCGGAAUGCGUGGUGUAGCGGUGAAAUGCAUAGAUAUCACGCAGAACUCCGAUUGCGAAGGCAGCUUACUAAGCCAUAACUGACACUGAAGCACGAAAGCGUGGGGAUCAAACAGGAUUAGAUACCCUAGUAGUC
RNAcentral lists this ribosomal RNA (460 nucleotides) under uncultured bacterium. RNAcentral's name for it is "partial 16S ribosomal RNA". It matches the Rfam family "Bacterial small subunit ribosomal RNA", at positions 338 to 795 of the family's 1533-position model. The record is from RNAcentral.